UAAGCGACUAAGCGUACACGGUGGAUGCCCUGGCAGUCAGAGGCGAUGAAGGACGUUCUAAUCUGCGAUAAGCGUCGGUAAGGUGAUAUGAACCGUUAUAACCGGCGAUUUCCGAAUGGGGAAACCCAGUGUGUUUCGACACACUAUCAUUAACUGAAUCCAUAGGUUAAUGAGGCGAACCGGGGGAACUGAAACAUCUAAGUACCCCGAGGAAAAGAAAUCAACCGAGAUUCCCCCAGUAGCGGCGAGCGAACGGGGAGCAGCCCAGAGCCUGAAUCAGUGUGUGUGUUAGUGGAAGCGUCUGGAAAGGCGCGCGAUACAGGGUGACAGCCCCGUACACAAAAAUGCACAUGCUGUGAGCUCGAUGAGUAGGGCGGGACACGUGGUAUCCUGUCUGAAUAUGGGGGGACCAUCCUCCAAGGCUAAAUACUCCUGACUGACCGAUAGUGAACCAGUACCGUGAGGGAAAGGCGAAAAGAACCCCGGCGAGGGGAGUGAAAAAGAACCUGAAACCGUGUACGUACAAGCAGUGGGAGCACGCUUAGGCGUGUGACUGCGUACCUUUUGUAUAAUGGGUCAGCGACUUAUAUUCUGUAGCAAGGUUAACCGAAUAGGGGAGCCGAAGGGAAACCGAGUCUUAACUGGGCGUUAAGUUGCAGGGUAUAGACCCGAAACCCGGUGAUCUAGCCAUGGGCAGGUUGAAGGUUGGGUAACACUAACUGGAGGACCGAACCGACUAAUGUUGAAAAAUUAGCGGAUGACUUGUGGCUGGGGGUGAAAGGCCAAUCAAACCGGGAGAUAGCUGGUUCUCCCCGAAAGCUAUUUAGGUAGCGCCUCGUGAACUCAUCUCCGGGGGUAGAGCACUGUUUCGGCAAGGGGGUCAUCCCGACUUACCAACCCGAUGCAAACUGCGAAUACCGGAGAAUGUUAUCACGGGAGACACACGGCGGGUGCUAACGUCCGUCGUGAAGAGGGAAACAACCCAGACCGCCAGCUAAGGUCCCAAAGUCAUGGUUAAGUGGGAAACGAUGUGGGAAGGCCCAGACAGCCAGGAUGUUGGCUUAGAAGCAGCCAUCAUUUAAAGAAAGCGUAAUAGCUCACUGGUCGAGUCGGCCUGCGCGGAAGAUGUAACGGGGCUAAACCAUGCACCGAAGCUGCGGCAGCGACGCUGAUGCGUUGUUGGGUAGGGGAGCGUUCUGUAAGCCUGUGAAGGUGUGCUGUGAGGCAUGCUGGAGGUAUCAGAAGUGCGAAUGCUGACAUAAGUAACGAUAAAGCGGGUGAAAAGCCCGCUCGCCGGAAGACCAAGGGUUCCUGUCCAACGUUAAUCGGGGCAGGGUGAGUCGACCCCUAAGGCGAGGCCGAAAGGCGUAGUCGAUGGGAAACAGGUUAAUAUUCCUGUACUUGGUGUUACUGCGAAGGGGGGACGGAGAAGGCUAUGUUGGCCGGGCGACGGUUGUCCCGGUUUAAGCGUGUAGGCUGGUUUUCCAGGCAAAUCCGGAAAAUCAAGGCUGAGGCGUGAUGACGAGGCACUACGGUGCUGAAGCAACAAAUGCCCUGCUUCCAGGAAAAGCCUCUAAGCAUCAGGUAACAUCAAAUCGUACCCCAAACCGACACAGGUGGUCAGGUAGAGAAUACCAAGGCGCUUGAGAGAACUCGGGUGAAGGAACUAGGCAAAAUGGUGCCGUAACUUCGGGAGAAGGCACGCUGAUAUGUAGGUGAAGUCCCUCGCGGAUGGAGCUGAAAUCAGUCGAAGAUACCAGCUGGCUGCAACUGUUUAUUAAAAACACAGCACUGUGCAAACACGAAAGUGGACGUAUACGGUGUGACGCCUGCCCGGUGCCGGAAGGUUAAUUGAUGGGGUCAGCGCAAGCGAAGCUCUUGAUCGAAGCCCCGGUAAACGGCGGCCGUAACUAUAACGGUCCUAAGGUAGCGAAAUUCCUUGUCGGGUAAGUUCCGACCUGCACGAAUGGCGUAAUGAUGGCCAGGCUGUCUCCACCCGAGACUCAGUGAAAUUGAACUCGCUGUGAAGAUGCAGUGUACCCGCGGCAAGACGGAAAGACCCCGUGAACCUUUACUAUAGCUUGACACUGAACAUUGAGCCUUGAUGUGUAGGAUAGGUGGGAGGCUUAGAAGUGUGGACGCCAGUCUGCAUGGAGCCGACCUUGAAAUACCACCCUUUAAUGUUUGAUGUUCUAACGUUGACCCGUAAUCCGGGUUGCGGACAGUGUCUGGUGGGUAGUUUGACUGGGGCGGUCUCCUCCUAAAGAGUAACGGAGGAGCACGAAGGUUGGCUAAUCCUGGUCGGACAUCAGGAGGUUAGUGCAAUGGCAUAAGCCAGCUUGACUGCGAGCGUGACGGCGCGAGCAGGUGCGAAAGCAGGUCAUAGUGAUCCGGUGGUUCUGAAUGGAAGGGCCAUCGCUCAACGGAUAAAAGGUACUCCGGGGAUAACAGGCUGAUACCGCCCAAGAGUUCAUAUCGACGGCGGUGUUUGGCACCUCGAUGUCGGCUCAUCACAUCCUGGGGCUGAAGUAGGUCCCAAGGGUAUGGCUGUUCGCCAUUUAAAGUGGUACGCGAGCUGGGUUUAGAACGUCGUGAGACAGUUCGGUCCCUAUCUGCCGUGGGCGCUGGAGAACUGAGGGGGGCUGCUCCUAGUACGAGAGGACCGGAGUGGACGCAUCACUGGUGUUCGGGUUGUCAUGCCAAUGGCACUGCCCGGUAGCUAAAUGCGGAAGAGAUAAGUGCUGAAAGCAUCUAAGCACGAAACUUGCCCCGAGAUGAGUUCUCCCUGACCCUUUAAGGGUCCUGAAGGAACGUUGAAGACGACGACGUUGAUAGGCCGGGUGUGUAAGCGCAGCGAUGCGUUGAGCUAACCGGUACUAAUGAACCGUGAGGCUUAACCU
Molecule: ribosomal RNA, 2900 nt
Filed under: Escherichia coli 2-005-03_S1_C1
Lineage: Bacteria; Pseudomonadati; Pseudomonadota; Gammaproteobacteria; Enterobacterales; Enterobacteriaceae
Description: bacterial LSU rRNA
Rfam family: Bacterial large subunit ribosomal RNA
Source: RNAcentral